UUGGUCACAUUCAACGUAAUCUAUAUAGCAGCAGUGCCCUUAGUCGCCCGCGAGCUCUUCUGCGCGCUAGACGUACGACGAUUAUAAUAAAAACCAAAUAAAAGUAACAAAAUGCCUUGGUGUGUGCUACGAUAUUGCAAAAAUAAUUCCAAAAACGUUUCCAAAUCCGACGGUAUAGCAUUUCAUCGGUUUCCACGUCCAAGUAACGAAAAACGAGAACAGUGGAUCAAGUUUGUCCAAAAUAAUCGCAGCGAAGAGACGUGGCUUCCUUCAGAUUAUAGUUAUAUAUGUUCGUUGCAUUUUCGUGAGAACGAUAAAUAUAUUACAAAAGGGGGAAAGACUUAUUUGAAAAAGUCUGCAGUACCAUAUGAUGAUAAAUACAUAAUAUCUACUCAUGAUGCCAAUGAGCCGAUUUCUGAAUCUGUCAGUGAAUCAGAGUCAGUACUCGAUACCCCGAGAGAAAUAAUCCUGAAACAUACAAUUCAGAACUUAACGUUGG
Long non-coding RNA from Aricia agestis (brown argus), 499 nucleotides. RefSeq lists it as uncharacterized. NCBI's taxonomy places the organism in Eukaryota, Metazoa, Arthropoda, Insecta, Lepidoptera, Lycaenidae. The transcript is spliced from 3 exons. The record is from RefSeq and is a predicted model, not a curated record.